This 352-nucleotide unclassified non-coding RNA is filed under the name soil metagenome. Its description in RNAcentral is "partial contains 5.8S ribosomal RNA, internal transcribed spacer 2, and large subunit ribosomal RNA". The stretch from base 1 to 120 matches the Rfam family "5.8S ribosomal RNA", at positions 35 to 154 of the family's 154-position model. The record is from RNAcentral.
GAUGAAGAACGUAGCGAAAUGCGAUAAGUAAUGUGAAUUGCAGAAUUCAGUGAAUCAUCCAAUCUUUGAACGCACAUUGCGCCCGCCAGUAUUCUGGCGGGCAUGCCUGUUCGAGCGUCAUUACAACCCUCAGGCCCCCGGGCCUGGCGUUGGGGAUCGGCGGAGCCCCCCGUGGGCACACGCCGUCCCCCAAAUGCAGUGGCGGUCCCGCCGCAGCUUCCAUCGCGUAGUAGCUAACACCUCGCGACUGGAGAGCGGCGCGGCCACGCCGUAAAACACCCAACUCUUCUGAAGUUGACCUCGAAUCAGGUAGGAAUACCCGCUGAACUUAAGCAUAUCAAUAAGCGGAGGA